This 278-nucleotide long non-coding RNA is filed under the name Sorghum bicolor (sorghum). RNAcentral describes it as "long non-coding RNA (SBIC_LNC002572)". Lineage: Eukaryota; Viridiplantae; Streptophyta; Magnoliopsida; Poales; Poaceae. The record is from RNAcentral.
GGGGCUAGGAAGCUCUGACUACGGUCCUACAAACACCGAUCCGAGCGAGGUGGAAUACGUCGACCGUUAGGGCUGUCACUACCCUAGGGCUACCACAACAAUCCGCAGGAUUGGGUGCAAUUCCAGGUAAUUGCAAGACUAAACACCACGUCUAAUCUAUUAAUUACUACUCUAAUGUUGCAAAGAUUAGAGCACUUGAUGCAAGCGGGAAUCCAAUAAAUAACUUGAAUGUAAAUAAAAGUAAUUAAAGAACUUAGGAUUAUGAAUUAAAGAACCUG